AGACCAGGAAGCGGAUCCCGUGGAAUGACGGUGACGCCGCGGCGGGCGGAUUGACUUCUAAAGAAUCUUGGUACGUGAGGAAGAAACCCAGAAGAGGAAGAGGAAAGCAAAGGAGUCAGGGAUGGCUCUUCCUCAGGGACUCAUCCAAGGCCAAGGAAGUCCUCACUGACUCUUUGAGAACUCUAUAUAUGCAAACCCUUUGGGAUGGCCACUAAAUUUGUCACAGAGUAUGGUAACGUGGUUGACUGAACCACAGCCAUGAAAGUGAGCUUCCAGCUCUUCUGCUGUUGCACCGCAGUCCACAUUGCCAGCAUUGAUGGAACGGGCAUCAGCCUCCAUCUUCUCCUCAAUGGACGUGAUCACUGGGCCAGCAUUGCCUGGAGGGUCUAUUGACAUUCAGGGACGUGGCCAUAGAAUUCUCUCAGGAGGAGUGGAAAUGCCUGGACCCUGCUCAGAGGACUCUUUACAGGGAUGUGAUGCUGGAGAAUUAUAGGAACCUGGUCUCCCUGGAUUUUCGGUCUGUCACCCAGGCUAAAGUGCAGUGGUGUCACCUCGGCUCACUGCAACCUCCACUUCCCAGGUUCAAGCAAUUCUCCUGCCUCAGCCUUCCAAGUAGCUGGGACUACAGAUAUCUCUUCCAAAUGCAUGAUGAAGACAUUCUUCUCAACAGGGCAAGGCAAUACAGAAGCGUUCCACACAGGGACAUUGCAAAGACAAGCAAGUCAUCACAUUGGAGAUUUUUGCUUCCAGAAAAUUGAGAAAGACAUUCAUGGCUUCCAGUUUCAGUGGAAAGAAGAUGAAACAAAUGACCAUGCAGCACCCAUGACAGAAAUCAAAGAGUUGACUGGUAGUACAGGCCAACAUGAUCAAAGGCAUGCUGGAAACAAGCAUAUUAAAGAUCAGCUUGGAUUAAGCUUUCAUUCGCAUCUGCCUGAACUGCACAUAUUUCAGCCUGAAGGGAAAAUUGGUAAUCAAGUUGAGAAGUCUAUCAACAAUGCUUCCUCAGUUUCAACAUCCCAAAGAAUUUGUUGUAGGCCCAAAACCCAUAUUUCUAAUAAGUAUGGAAAUAAUUCCCUCCAUUCUUCAUUACUCACACAAAAACGGAAUGUACACAUGAGAGAAAAAUCUUUCCAAUGUAUUGAGAGUGGCAAAUCCUUUAAUUGUAGCUCACUUUUAAAAAAACAUCAGAUAACCCACUUAGAAGAGAAACAAUGUAAAUGUGAUGUAUAUGGCAAGGUAUUUAAUCAGAAGCGAUACCUUGCAUGCCAUCGUAGAUCUCACAUUGAUGAGAAACCUUACAAGUGUAAUGAGUGUGGCAAGAUCUUUGGUCACAAUACAUCCCUCUUCCUUCACAAGGCGCUUCAUACUGCAGACAAACCUUAUGAAUGUGAAGAAUGUGACAAAGUUUUCAGUCGCAAAUCACACCUUGAAACACAUAAGAUAAUUUAUACUGGAGGGAAACCAUACAAAUGUAAGGUUUGUGACAAAGCUUUCACAUGUAAUUCAUACCUAGCAAAACAUACUAUAAUUCACACUGGAGAGAAACCUUACAAGUGUAAUGAAUGUGGCAAGGUUUUUAAUCGACUGUCAACCCUUGCACGCCAUCGUAGGCUUCAUACUGGAGAGAAACCUUAUGAAUGUGAAGAAUGUGAAAAAGUUUUCAGUCGCAAAUCACAUCUUGAAAGACAUAAGAGGAUUCAUACUGGAGAGAAACCAUACAAAUGUAAGGUUUGUGACAAGGCUUUUGCAUAUAAUUCAUACCUGGCAAAACAUAGUAUAAUUCACACUGGAGAGAAGCCUUACAAGUGUAAUGAAUGUGGCAAGGUUUUUAAUCAACAAUCAACUCUUGCACGCCAUCAUAGACUUCAUACUGCAGAGAAACCAUACAAAUGUGAAGAAUGUGACAAAGUUUUCAGGUGCAAAUCACACCUUGAAAGACAUAGGAGGAUUCAUACUGGAGAGAAACCAUACAAAUGUAAGGUUUGUGACAAGGCUUUCCGGAGUGAUUCAUGCCUUACAGAACAUCAGAGAGUUCAUACUGGAGAGAAACCAUACAUGUGUAAUGAAUGUGGCAAGGUUUUUAGUACAAAAGCAAACCUUGCAUGUCAUCAUAAACUUCAUACUGCAGAGAAACCGUACAAAUGUGAAGAAUGUGAGAAAGUUUUCAGUCGCAAAUCACACAUGGAAAGACAUAGGAGGAUUCAUACUGGAGAGAAACCGUACAAAUGUAAGGUUUGUGACAAGGCUUUCCGGAGGGAUUCACACCUGGCACAACAUCAGAGAGUUCAUACUGGAGAGAAACCUUACAAGUGUAAUGAGUGUGGCAAGACCUUCCGUCAGACAUCAUCGCUUAUAAUCCAUCGUAGGCUUCAUACUGGAGAGAAACCUUACAAGUGUAAUGAGUGUGGCAAGACCUUCAGUCAGAUGUCAUCCCUCGUAUACCAUCAUAGGCUUCAUAGUGGAGAGAAACCUUACAAGUGUAAUGAAUGUGGCAAGGUUUUUAAUCAACAAGCACACCUUGCACAGCAUCAGAGAGUUCAUACUGGAGAGAAACCUUACAAGUGUAAUGAGUGUGGCAAGACCUUCAGUCAGAUGUCAAACCUUGUAUACCAUCAUAGACUUCAUAGUGGAGAGAAACCUUGAAAGUGUAAUGAGUGUGGCAAGACCUUCAGUCAGAUGUCAAACCUUGUAUACCAUCAUAGACUUCAUAGUGGAGAGAAACCUUAAAAGUGUAAUGAGUGUGGCAACACCUUCCAUCACAAUUCAACCCUUGUAAGUCACAAAGCCAUUCAUACUGGAGAGAAACUUUACAAGUGUAAUGAAUGUGGCAAGGUUUUUAAUCAAAAAACAACCCUUGCACGUCAUCAUAGAAUUCAUACUGCAGAGAAACUUUACAAAUAGGAAGAAUGUGACAAAGUUUUCGGUUGCAAAUCAAACCUUGAAACACAUAAGAAAAUGCAUGCUGAAGAGAAACCACACAGAUGUAAGGUUUAUGACAAGAUUUUUGAAUAUAAUUCAUACCUGGCAAAACAUAUUAGAAUUCAAACUGGAGAGAAACCUUACAAAUGUGAUGAGUGUGGCAACACCUUUGGUCAAAAUUCAUACCUUGUAAUUCAAAAGGCAAUUCGUAUUGGAGAGAAACCCUACAAGUGUAAUGAAUGUGGCAUAGUUUUUAAUCAACAGUCACACCUUGCAAGUCAUCAUAGUCUUCAUACUGCAGAGAAAUCUUACAAAUGUGAAGACUGUGACAAAGUUGUCAGUCACAAAUCACAGCUUGAAAGACAGGAGAAUUCAUACUGGAGAAAAAACAUACAAAUGUAAGGUUUGUAACAAGGCUUUUGGGAGUGAUUCACACCUGGCACACCAUACUAGAAUUCACACUGGAGAGAAACCUUACAAGUGCAAUGAGUGUGGCAAAGCCUUUAGUGGGCAGUCACCACUUAUUCACCAUCAAGCAAUCCAUAGUAUAGGGAAACUUGACUAAUAUAAUGAUUGUCACAAAGUUUUCAGUAAUGCUACAACCAUUGCAAAUCAUUGGAGAAUCCAUAAUGAGAGAUCUUACAAGUGUAAUAAAUGUGACAGAUUUUUCAGAUAUCGUUCAUAUAUUGCUAUUCAUCAUCGAACUCAUGCUGGAGAGAAACCUUAUAAAUGUCAUGAUUGUGGCAAGGUCUUCAGUCAAGUUUCAUCCUAUGCAAAACAUAGGAGGAUUCAUACAGGAGAGAAACUCACAAGUGUGAUGAUUGUGGCAAAGCGUUUACUUCACAUUCACACCUCAAUAGACAUCAGAGAAUCCAUGCUGGACAGAAAUCUUACAAAUGUCAUCAGUGUGGUAAGGUCUUCAGUCCGAGAUCACUCCUUGCAGACCAUCAGACAAUUCCUUUUGGAGACAGUUGUUUCAAAUGCCAUUAGUAUAGCAAGCCAUCAAGCAUUAAUUGACAUUACAGUUAAAUGAGCACUGACCUGAGUUUGAGUUGACUUAACAUUGAGUUUAAGCAUUAAUUGACAUUAAACUGUUUAUGUUAAGAGGACUGGGCUGGGCACUGUGGCUCACGCCUGCAAUGCCAGCACUUUGAGAGGCCAAGACUGGUAGGUCACUGGAGGUUAAGAGUUUGAGAACAGCCUGGCCAACAGACGGGAGCCACUUUUCCCAGCCUGUGUUUUCAUUUCUAUUCUUUCUUUCUUUUUUCUUUUUUUUGUUUUUGUUUUUGAGAUGGAGUCUCUUGCUCUGUCAUCCAGGUUGGAGUGCAGUGGCAUGAUCUUGACUCACUACAACCUCCGCCUCCCAGGUUCAAGCGAUCCUCCUGCCUCAGUCUCCUGACUAGCUGGGACUACAGGUGCAUGCCACCACACCUGGAUAAUUUUUUGUAUUUUUAGUAGAGACUGGGUUUCGCUGUGUUAGCCUGGAUGGUCUCGAUUUUCUGAUCUUAUGAUUCACCCACCUCUACCUCCCGAAGUGCUGAGAUUAUGGGCGUGAGCCACCGUGACUGGCCUGUUUUUUGUUUCUUUAACAAAAAGUUAUGGGGAUUUCUAUGAGUAUUGUGUUGAAUCUAAAUCACAUUCGGUUAUAUAAUCAUUGAGCAAUACUAAUUUUUCCAAUCAGUAUGGAUUGUAUGUGUAUUUAUAUGUUUUUAAUCAUUUUGAUCAAUGUUUGUAGAUUUCAAGGUACAAACUUCUCACCUUUAUAUGUUUAUUCCUAAAUAUUUCUUACUUUAAGCUCUUUAGCAAAUGGAAGUGGUUUUUAAUUUUAUUUUAAAAUUAUUUAAUGUUAAUGUAUGGAAAUUCAACUAAUUUUUGGUGCUAUUAUUCUAUUCUGCAAAUACACUGAAUAUGUUUAUUAGUUCCAGUUGUAUUUUGGUUGACUGUGAUUUUCUUCACAGAUCAUGUCAUCUACAAACAAAUAAAAUUUGACUUCUUUCUUUCUGA
Homo sapiens (human) is the source of this 4923-nucleotide RNA transcript. It is a transcript of the gene named zinc finger protein 28, with no coding region annotated. The transcript is spliced from 6 exons. NCBI's taxonomy places the organism in Eukaryota, Metazoa, Chordata, Mammalia, Primates, Hominidae. The record is from RefSeq and is marked validated.